CGUUAAUAACAACUCGUGAUUGGGAAUAUGGAAUUGGAAAAGAAGAUAUGGAUGAGGACAAUGUGAUCGUUGAAGAAGAUAUAUUAGGAUUUGAACCUGACGCAGUGGAGGAUGGGGCAGUGGAGGAUGUGGAGGAAAUUCAUAUUGAAUAGUUGGAGCAACUCAAAGAUAAACAUGGAAUAUGAGAAUGUUUUAUCACUUACCAGUAUCUCCAAAUAUUGCAUAGAAAAGAGAUUGGAGAUGUUUUUUUGAUAGUUAACACUUUUUUUGAUUAACCACACAAUAUAUAUUUUGUGCAGGAAGUGGUUAUUAAUAUUGUGAUAUUGUCGCACUUGGUGAUACAAAUUAGAAACAAUGGUAUCUACA
Long non-coding RNA from Papaver somniferum (opium poppy), 366 nucleotides. RefSeq lists it as uncharacterized. The transcript is spliced from 3 exons. NCBI's taxonomy places the organism in Eukaryota, Viridiplantae, Streptophyta, Magnoliopsida, Ranunculales, Papaveraceae. The record is from RefSeq and is a predicted model, not a curated record.